UGGGGAAUCUUCCGCAAUGGACGAAAGUCUGACGGAGCAACGCCGCGUGAGUGAAGAAGGUUUUCGGAUCGUAAAACUCUGUCUUUUGGGGCGAACGUGAGUAUGGUGAACAAUCAUAGUCAGUGACGGUACCAAAGGAGGAAGCCACGGCUAACUACGUGCCAGCAGCCGCGGUAAUACGUAGGUGGCAAGCGUUGUCCGGAAUUAUUGGGCGUAAAGAGCGCGUAGGCGGGAUAGUCAGUCUGUUGUAAAAGUGCGGGGCUCAACCCCGUGAUGGCAAUGGAAACAGCUAUUCUUGAGUGCAGGAGAGGAAAGUGGAAUUCCCAGUGUAGCGGUGAAAUGCGUAGAUAUUGGGAGGAACACCAGUGGCGAAGGCGACUUUCUGGACUGUGUCUGACGCUGAGGCGCGAAAGCCAGGGGGAGCGAACGGGGAUUAGAUACCCCCGGUAGUCCUGGCCGUAAACGAUGGGUACUAGGUGUGGGAGGUAUCGACCCCCUUUCCGUGCCGGAGUUAACGCAAUAAGUACCCCGCCUGGGGAGUACGGUCGCAAGACUGAAACUCAAAUGAAUUGACGGGGUCAUAGCUGUUUCCUG
RNAcentral lists this ribosomal RNA (594 nucleotides) under uncultured bacterium. Its description in RNAcentral is "partial 16S ribosomal RNA". It matches the Rfam family "Bacterial small subunit ribosomal RNA", at positions 355 to 1376 of the family's 1533-position model. The record is from RNAcentral.